GACGAACGCUGGCGGCGUGCUUAACACAUGCAAGUCGAACGAUGAAGGAGAGCUUGCUCUCCGGAUUAGUGGCGAACGGGUGAGUAACACGUGACUAACCUGCCCCUUUCUCUGGGAUAACGCUCCGAAAGGAGUGCUAAUACCGGAUACGAACUCUGAACACAUGUUCGGAGUUGGAAAGUUUUUCGGAAAGGGAUGGAGUCGCGGCCUAUCAGCUUGUUGGUGAGGUAAUGGCGCACCAAGGCGACGAAGGGUAGCCGGCCUGAGAGGGCGACCGGCCACACGGGGACUGAGACACGGCCCAGACUCCUACGGGAGGCAGCAGUGGGGAAUAUUGCACAAUGGGCGAAAGCCUGAUGCAGCGACGCCGCGUGAGGGAUGAAGGUCUUCGGAUUGUAAACCUCUUUCAGUAGGGACGAAGCGAAAGUGACGGUACCUAAAGAAGAAGCACCGGCUAACUACGUGCCAGCCGCCGCCGUAA
RNAcentral lists this ribosomal RNA (481 nucleotides) under uncultured bacterium. RNAcentral's name for it is "partial 16S ribosomal RNA". It matches the Rfam family "Bacterial small subunit ribosomal RNA", at positions 28 to 523 of the family's 1533-position model. The record is from RNAcentral.